Molecule: ribosomal RNA, 468 nt
Filed under: uncultured bacterium
Lineage: Bacteria
Description: partial 16S ribosomal RNA
Rfam family: Bacterial small subunit ribosomal RNA
Source: RNAcentral
GACGAACGCUGGCGGCGUGCUUAACACAUGCAAGUCGAACGGAAAGGCUCGGGUUUUGGGGGGGGCCCGAGUGGUGAACGGGGGAGUAACACGUGAGUAAUCUGCCUAUGACUGGGGGAUAACUGCAGGUAACUGGUGCUAAUACCUGAUGGGAGGUUCGCCUCCAUGGGGGGGGUUGGAAAGUUUCGGCGGAUGGGGGUGGAUUCGGGGUCUAUCAGCUUGUUGGUGGGGUAUGGGCUUACCAAGGGUUUGACGGGUAGCCGGCCUGGGCGGGGCACAGGACACACUAGGGCGGAGCUACGACCCAGACCACAACGGGAGGCAGGAGUGGAGAAGAUUGUAUAAUGGGCGGAGGCCUAGUGUAGCAACGCCGCGCGCGGGAUGACAGCAAUCCGGUUGGAAACCGCAGUCGCCUGUGACGAAGCGAUAAUGACGGUAAUGGGUAAAGAAGCACCGGCUAACUACGUG